This 332-nucleotide ribosomal RNA is filed under the name uncultured bacterium. RNAcentral describes it as "bacterial SSU rRNA". It matches the Rfam family "Bacterial small subunit ribosomal RNA", at positions 29 to 355 of the family's 1533-position model. The record is from RNAcentral.
AGCGAACGUUUGCGGCGGGCUUAACACAUGCAAGUCGAACGAGAAUCCCUUCGGGGAGGAAAGUGGCGCACGGGUGCGUAACACGUGGAUAACCAACCCAUUGGUUUGGGACAACACCGGGAAACUGGUGCUAAUACCAGAUGUGUCGCAGCUGUCUUCAGGCGGUUGCGAGAAAGGCCCGCAAGGGUCGCCAACGGACGGGUCCGCGUCCCAUCAGCUAGUUGGUGAGGUAAUGGCUCACCAAGGCAAAGACGGGUAGGCUGGUCUGAGAGGAUGAUCAGCCACACUGGAACUGAGACACGGUCCGAGACUCCUACCGGGAGGGCAGCAGU